UGAGGAAUAUUGGACAAUGGGCGAAAGCCUGAUCCAGCCAUGCCGCGUGUGUGAAGAAGGUCUUCGGAUUGUAAAGCACUUUAAGUUGGGAGGAAGGGCAGUAACCUAAUACGUUGCUGUCUUGACGUUACCGACAGAAUAAGCACCGGCUAACUCUGUGCCAGCAGCCGCGGUAAUACAGAGGGUGCAAGCGUUAAUCGGAAUUACUGGGCGUAAAGCGCGCGUAGGUGGUUUGUUAAGUUGGAUGUGAAAUCCCCGGGCUCAACCUGGGAACUGCAUUCAAAACUGACAAGCUAGAGUAUGGUAGAGGGUGGUGGAAUUUCCUGUGUAGCGGUGAAAUGCGUAGAUAUAGGAAGGAACACCAGUGGCGAAGGCGACCACCUGGACUGAUACUGACACUGAGGUGCGAAAGCGUGGGGAGCAAACAGGAUUAGAUACCCCCGUAGUCCCUGAGCGGGCUGGCAAGGCGCAU
This 472-nucleotide ribosomal RNA is filed under the name uncultured bacterium. Its description in RNAcentral is "bacterial SSU rRNA". It matches the Rfam family "Bacterial small subunit ribosomal RNA", at positions 355 to 825 of the family's 1533-position model. The record is from RNAcentral.